Molecule: ribosomal RNA, 246 nt
Filed under: Pristimantis sacharuna
Lineage: Eukaryota; Metazoa; Chordata; Amphibia; Anura; Strabomantidae
Description: partial large subunit ribosomal RNA
Rfam family: Bacterial large subunit ribosomal RNA (bases 1-139)
Source: RNAcentral
GUGGGCUUACGACCUCGAUGUUGGAUCGGGAUACCCCGGUGGUGCAGCCGCUACUAAAGGUUCGUUUGUUCAACGAUUAAAAUCCCACGUGAUCUGAGUUCAGACCGGAGCAAUCCAGGUCAGUUUCUAUCUAUUAUAGCGCUAUUUUUAGUACGAAAGGACCAAAAUAGCCUGGCCUAUACCCCCAGCAAGCCAUUAUUAAUUACUCUUGACCCCCACUCAAAAAACUAUUAACCUAAUACCCCC